GCCAGGGUGGCGGAAUGGCAUACGCAUCUGACUUAAAAUCAGACGGUUACAACCUUGCGGGUUCGAGUCCCGUCCCUGGUACCA
RNAcentral lists this transfer RNA (84 nucleotides) under Victivallales bacterium CCUG 44730. RNAcentral's name for it is "tRNA-Leu". It matches the Rfam family "tRNA". From Rfam's summary of the family: Transfer RNA (tRNA) molecules are approximately 80 nucleotides in length. Their secondary structure includes four short double-helical elements and three loops (D, anti-codon, and T loops). Further hydrogen bonds mediate the characteristic L-shaped molecular structure. tRNAs have two regions of fundamental functional importance: the anti-codon, which is responsible for specific mRNA codon recognition, and the 3' end, to which the tRNAs corresponding amino acid is attached (by aminoacyl-tRNA synthetases). tRNAs cope with the degeneracy of the genetic code in two manners: having more than one tRNA (with a specific anti-codon) for a particular amino acid; and 'wobble' base-pairing, i.e. permitting non-standard base-pairing at the 3rd anti-codon position. The record is from RNAcentral. Lineage: Bacteria; Pseudomonadati; Lentisphaerota; Lentisphaeria; Victivallales.